Molecule: ribosomal RNA, 422 nt
Filed under: Diplonevra watsoni
Lineage: Eukaryota; Metazoa; Arthropoda; Insecta; Diptera; Phoridae
Description: partial 16S ribosomal RNA
Source: RNAcentral
AAAAACAUGUCUUUUUGAAUUAAAUUUAAAGUCUAACCUGCCCAUUGNNAAUUUUUAAAAGGCCGCAGUAUUUNNUAACUGUGCAAANNUAGCAUAAUCAUUAGUCUUUUUAUUGAAGGCUGGAAUGAAUGGUUGAAUGAAAUAUUAACUGUAUCGAUUUAAUUUUUAUUAAAAUUUUAUAUUUUAGUUAAAAAGCUAAAAUAUUAUUAAAAGACGAGAAGACCCUAUAAAUCUUAAUAAUUNUAAAAUNUUAUUUUUUAUAUAGAAAAUUUAUUAAAUAAAUAAAUAAAUUAUUUUAUUGGGGUGAUAUUAAAAUUUAAUUAACUUUUAUAAUUUUAUAAACAUUAAUUUAUGAAUUUANUGAUCCAUAUAAUUAUGAUUAUUAAAAUAAGUUACUUUAGGGAUAACAGCNGUAAUUUUUU